RNAcentral lists this small nuclear RNA (93 nucleotides) under Sorex araneus (European shrew). Lineage: Eukaryota; Metazoa; Chordata; Mammalia; Eulipotyphla; Soricidae. The record is from RNAcentral.
ACACUUUGGCAGCAUAUAUACUGAAAUUGGAACGAUAUAGAGAAGAUUAGCAUGGCCCCUGCACAAGGAUGACACGCAAAAAAAUUAAUAUUA